UGAAUACGAGAUGCUACGGCGUUGAAGCAGUCUAUGUCAUACUUCCAAGAAAAGCUUGCACUGUCACAAACAAAGAAUGCCUGUACCAUAACCGACACAGGUGGGUAGGUAGAGUAUACUAAGGGGCGCGAGAUAACUCUCUCUAAGGAACUCGGCAAAAUGACUCCGUAACUUCGGGAGAAGGAGUGCCUUAUUUUUAAGGUUGCAAUAACAAGAUCCAAGCAACUGUUUACCAAAAACACAGGUCUCCGCUAAGUCGUAAGACGAUGUAUGGGGGCUGACGCCUGCCCAGUGCCAGAAGGUUAAAGAAGUCGGUUACCAUUCGCGAAGCUGAGAACUGAAGCCCUGGUGAACGGCGGCCGUAACUAUAACGGUCCUAAGGUAGCGAAAUUCCUUGUCGGGUAAGUUCCGACCCCCACGAAAGGCGUAAUGAUUUGGAUACUGUCUCGGAGAGGGGCUCGGUGAAAUAGACUUGUCUGUGAAGAUGCGGACUACCUGCACCUGUACAGAAAGACCCUAUGAAGCUUUACUGUAACUUGAGAUUGAAAUUGGGCUUUAUUUGCGCAGUAUAGGUGGGAGGCGUUGAGAAUAAUCUUGCGGGAUUAUUUGAGCCAUCAGUGAGAUACCACUCUUGUAAUGUUAGAUUUCUAACUUUGUAUCAUUCUCUGGUCAAAGAACAGUUUCAGGCGGGCAGUUUGACUGGGGCGGUCGCCUCCCAAAGGGUAACGGAGGCGCACAAAGGUUUCCUCUGAACGGGUAGAAAUCGUAUCUAGAGUGUAAAGGCAUAAGGAAGCUUGACUGUGAGACCUACAAGUCGAGCAGGGACGAAAGUCGGUCUUAGUGAUCUGACGGUGCUGAGUGGAAAGGCCGUCACUCAACGGAUAAAAGUUACUCUAGGAUAACAGGCUGAUCUCCCCCAAGAGUUCACAUCGACGGGGAGGUUUGGCACCUCGAUGUCGGCUCAUCGCAUCCUGGGGCGGUAGUACGUCCCAAGGGUUGGGCUGUUCGCCCAUGAAAGCGGUACGCGAGCUGGGUUCAGAACGUCGUGAGACAGUUCGGUCCAUAUCCGGUGUAGGCGUUAGAAUAUUGAGAGGAGCCUUCUCUAGUACGAGAGGACCGAGAAGGACAUACCUCUGGUGUACCAGUUAUCGUGCCAACGGUAAACGCUGGGUAGCUAUGUAUGGAGUGGAUAACCGCUGAAAGCAUCUAAGUGGGAAGCCCACCUCAAGAUAAGUAC
This 1237-nucleotide ribosomal RNA is filed under the name metagenome. RNAcentral's name for it is "bacterial LSU rRNA". It matches the Rfam family "Bacterial large subunit ribosomal RNA", at positions 1564 to 2811 of the family's 2925-position model. The record is from RNAcentral.